UAAGUCUACUAGUUCUUUUGGGGCCGCGAGGUUCAUUAUCCACUUGAAACAUUGGGCAUCAGUUCUCUGGAAAGGAACUGCGUUACGAUAACUGGCAAGCGAAUACCCAGCAUGCCUGCCAUAUGAAACCUCAAAAAUUGACCGUCUCAUGACAGGAGGACCUGUGGCAACUCGGCCUCUGCUCCUUCAUGCUGGCGAGGCGACGAUGUCGGUGCCGUUUACUGUAGAGCAGGCACAAGAGCUGCAGGCAAGUCGCAUAUUGAUGUCCAACCUUCAAAAAAUUUUGCCUAUCGCAUGGCGUCUGGGAAACAUCGGCACCCACUUUCCGCGGGGCGGAACUUUACCGACGCGACUAUGAUGGUGCGCACAGCACUUUGGUCGAUCUACAAGAUGAGGCACAAAUUUUUAAUUUCAUCGAUUUCUGAGUACGUAAAAGGUUUCCGAAUAAGGGUUCUGCGUUCGGGAUCACGCGUCCGUACGACCACGGUCGUUUAGAGGACGCUGCGGUCGUACGGACAGGUGAUCCGCAACGCAAAACCCCUUAGUACCUUCUCCCUUACCCAACCCGAUUCAAUCUGACCGCAAGCAUUCCGCAAAAAAUAUAUCCGGCCGCAAAACCGACAGGGGACCUUCCAAAAGCUUUUUCAGAUUUUUGCCGAGAAGCAAAAGGCGCAGCGGCCCAAGCGCUGGGACAUGAUGGAGUGGCGCCAUGCGGAUCAAGAAGUGGGCAUGGAGGUGCGAACUUGUGAGGAUUUAUGCUCUGGCGUGCGUGCGUUGUCCUCUUUCGUUUUUGACCGUACCACACCAUGUGCGGAAGGUGAAGUAGUAUCGUACUGCCGUAGUACCGUUGCCGUGCAGAAUCCUAACGGCAUCUAGUCUAACCCCUCCUGUUUUCUAACCACCGUAUUCGGCCCCUCCUCCCACCUCUCAAUUUCCACCACCACCCCCGUUGGCGCCACAUGCCGCCC
This 968-nucleotide long non-coding RNA is filed under the name Volvox carteri. RNAcentral's name for it is "long non-coding RNA (VCAR_LNC001511)". Lineage: Eukaryota; Viridiplantae; Chlorophyta; Chlorophyceae; Chlamydomonadales; Volvocaceae. The record is from RNAcentral.